Molecule: small RNA, 1122 nt
Filed under: Pongo abelii (Sumatran orangutan)
Lineage: Eukaryota; Metazoa; Chordata; Mammalia; Primates; Hominidae
Description: retained intron
Source: RNAcentral
CGCUCCUCCUUCCUCCCUCCUCCUCCUCCCCCCUGCUCCUCCCCCAUCAUCUUCUCCAGAUGAAGUUCGCACUGGCACCUACCGUCAGCUCUUCCACCCUGAGCAACUCAUCACAGGCAAGGAAGAUGCUGCCAAUAACUAUGCCCGAGGGCACUACACCAUUGGCAAGGAGAUCAUUGACCUCGUGUUGGACCGAAUUCGCAAGCUGGCUGACCAGUGCACCGGUCUUCAGGGCUUCUUGGUUUUCCACAGCUUUGGUGGGGGAACUGGUUCUGGGUUCACCUCCCUGCUCAUGGAACGUCUCUCGGUUGAUUAUGGCAAGAAGUCCAAGCUGGAGUUCUCCAUUUACCCGGCGCCCCAGGUUUCCACAGCUGUAGUUGAGCCCUACAACUCCAUCCUCACCACCCACACCACCCUGGAGCACUCUGAUUGUGCCUUCAUGGUAGACAAUGAGGCCAUCUAUGACAUCUGUCGUAGAAACCUUGAUAUCGAGCGCCCAACCUACACUAACCUUAACCGCCUUAUUAGCCAGAUUGUGUCCUCCAUCACUGCUUCCCUGAGAUUUGAUGGAGCCCUGAAUGUUGACCUGACAGAAUUCCAGACCAACCUGGUGCCCUAUCCCCGCAUCCACUUCCCUCUGGCCACAUAUGCCCCUGUCAUCUCUGCUGAGAAAGCCUACCACGAACAGCUUACUGUAGCAGAGAUCACCAAUGCUUGCUUUGAGCCAGCCAACCAGAUGGUGAAAUGUGACCCUCGGCAUGGUAAAUACAUGGCUUGCUGCCUGUUAUACCGUGGUGACGUGGUUCCCAAAGAUGUCAAUGCUGCCAUUGCCACCAUCAAAACCAAGCGUACCAUCCAGUUUGUGGAUUGGUGCCCCACUGGCUUCAAGGUUGGCAUCAACUACCAGCCUCCCACUGUGGUGCCUGGUGGAGACCUGGCCAAGGUACAGAGAGCUGUGUGCAUGCUGAGCAACACCACAGCUGUUGCCGAGGCCUGGGCUCGCCUGGACCACAAGUUUGACCUGAUGUAUGCCAAGCGUGCCUUUGUUCACUGGUAUGUGGGUGAGGGGAUGGAAGAAGGCGAGUUUUCAGAGGCCCGUGAGGACAUGGCUGCCCUUGAGAA